RNAcentral lists this ribosomal RNA (253 nucleotides) under uncultured bacterium. Its description in RNAcentral is "partial 16S ribosomal RNA". It matches the Rfam family "Bacterial small subunit ribosomal RNA", at positions 524 to 776 of the family's 1533-position model. The record is from RNAcentral.
UACGAAGGUCCCGAGCGUUGUUCGGAAUCACUGGGCGUAAAGGGAGCGUAGGCGGCAUGGUAAGUCAGAUGUGAAAUCCCGGGGCUCAACCCCGGAACUGCAUCCGAUACUGCCUUGCUUGAGGGUUGGAGAGGUAGCUGGAAUUAUCGGUGUAGCAGUGAAAUGCGUGGAUAUCGAUAGGAACACUCGUGGCGAAAGCGAGCUACUGGACAACAUCUGACGCUGAGGCUCGAAGGCUAGGGGAGCAAAAGGG